This 71-nucleotide transfer RNA is filed under the name Marmota monax (woodchuck). It matches the Rfam family "tRNA". Rfam says of the family: Transfer RNA (tRNA) molecules are approximately 80 nucleotides in length. Their secondary structure includes four short double-helical elements and three loops (D, anti-codon, and T loops). The record is from Rfam by way of RNAcentral. Lineage: Eukaryota; Metazoa; Chordata; Mammalia; Rodentia; Sciuridae.
GUGGUUGUGACUCAGUGGCAGAGUGCUUGCCUAGCACGUGUGAGGCCCUGAGUUUGAUCCUCAGCACCAUA